CCAGCAGCCGCGGUAAUUCCAGCUCCAAUAGUGUAUCUUAACGUUGUUGCAGUUAAAAAGCUCGUAGUUGAAUUUCUGGGGGGGUCGCUUUGGUCACCGGCCGGGUGACCCCUUCAUCCGCCUUGGAACUAGGAAGGGUAUUUAGUUACUGGCCUAGGGAAGUGGCAUUUUACUUUGAAGAAAUUAGAGUGUUCAUAGCAGGCUUUUGCUUGAAUAUAUCAGCAUGGAAUAAUGGAAUAGGACAUCGUCCGUCUCUUGGUGAUUGGACAUGUAAUGAUUAACAGGGACAGUUGGGGGCAUUCGUAUUCGUUAGUCAGAGGUGAAAUUCUUGGAUUUAACGAAGA
RNAcentral lists this ribosomal RNA (344 nucleotides) under uncultured eukaryote. Its description in RNAcentral is "SSU rRNA". It matches the Rfam family "Eukaryotic small subunit ribosomal RNA", at positions 567 to 935 of the family's 1831-position model. The record is from RNAcentral.